Molecule: ribosomal RNA, 433 nt
Filed under: uncultured Actinomycetes bacterium
Lineage: Bacteria; Bacillati; Actinomycetota; Actinomycetes
Description: bacterial SSU rRNA
Rfam family: Bacterial small subunit ribosomal RNA
Source: RNAcentral
AACGCGAAGAACCUUACCAAGGCUUGACAUAUACCGGAAACGGCUAGAGAUAGUCGCCCCCUUGUGGUCGGUAUACAGGUGGUGCAUGGUUGUCGUCAGCUCGUGUCGUGAGAUGUUGGGUUAAGUCCCGCAACGAGCGCAACCCUUGUUCUGUGUUGCCAGCAUGCCUUUCGGGGUGAUGGGGACUCACAGGAGACUGCCGGGGUCAACUCGGAGGAAGGUGGGGACGACGUCAAAUCAUCAUGCCCCUUAUGUCUUGGGCUGCACACGUGCUACAAUGGUCGGUACAAAGGGCUGCGAUACCGUGAGGUGGAGCGAAUCCCAAAAAGCCGGCCUCAGUUCGGAUUGGGGUCUGCAACUCGACCCCAUGAAGUUGGAGUUGCUAGUAAUCGCAGAUCAGCAUGCUGCGGUGAAUACGUUCCCGGGCCUUGUA